Molecule: ribosomal RNA, 708 nt
Filed under: Triticum aestivum (bread wheat)
Lineage: Eukaryota; Viridiplantae; Streptophyta; Magnoliopsida; Poales; Poaceae
Description: partial small subunit ribosomal RNA
Source: RNAcentral
AUGAAGCUUUCCGUGGCAACCGUCGCUUCCCUAGUCUUAGCCUUCGUCGCUGGCACGGCCGGCGCCGUCACGUUCGAGGUGACGAACAACGCGUCGACGACCCCCGGCGGCCAGCGCUUCGACGUGGAGUACGGCGCGGACUACGCGAGGCAGGUCCUUUCGGAAGCCGCCUCCUUCAUCUGGAACGUCUUCAACCAGACGGGCGCCCGCGAGGCCGACCGCAGGCCAGUCGACGGCGGCGGCGCCGUCACCCUCGUCGUCGUGGACGACACGGACGGCGGCAUCGCCUCCACCAGCGGCAGCGCCAUCGAGCUAAGCGAGGGCUACGUCGCCCGCUUCACCGGCGACCUGAAGGCCGAGCUGACGGGGGUGCUGUACCACGAGGCGACCCACGUCUGGCAGUGGGGUCUCCAGGACUACGCGGCGCACUGGUGGGUCUUCGAGGGGGUCGCCGACUUUGUCAGGCUCAAGGCCGGGUACGCGCCGGCGCACUGGGUGGCGCCGGGGCAGGGGCGCAGCUGGGACGGAGGUUACGACGUGACGGCAAGGUUCCUGGACUACUGCGACUCGGUGAUCAAGCCCGGGUUCGUCGGGGAGCUCAACGGCAAGAUGAAGGACAGCGGGUACAGCGACGGCUACUUCGUGGAGAUCCUGGGUAAGAGCGUGCAGGACCUGUGGAACGACUACAAAGCCAAGUACGGGGGCUGA